CAGUGGCUGCUCCUCAUCCGGCGUAGUGCUGUGGAAUUCCCUCCCUCCAUGCUGAGAAACUUACACAACCAUGUUCAACAUAACAUACAAUUAUUUGGACUUUAAAACGGCAAAGGAACAAGAUUCAUAAACCACGCAGUAGGACGAGCGAAAC
Molecule: long non-coding RNA, 154 nt
Organism: Drosophila sulfurigaster albostrigata
Lineage: Eukaryota; Metazoa; Arthropoda; Insecta; Diptera; Drosophilidae
Exons: 2
Source: RefSeq, a predicted model, not a curated record